RNAcentral lists this long non-coding RNA (317 nucleotides) under Gossypium barbadense (sea-island cotton). Its description in RNAcentral is "long non-coding RNA (GBAR_LNC010166)". The record is from RNAcentral. Lineage: Eukaryota; Viridiplantae; Streptophyta; Magnoliopsida; Malvales; Malvaceae.
CCAUCAUUGGUCUUAAUCUAUUAACACCUUUGUUAUAACCUUAUAUAACACCAUACACAAGCUUAUUAACUGAAAUUGUGUAAUUCUUUUCGUACUUUGAACUUUUGGAAAAAGCACCAGUAAAGUUCUAUUAAUACAUAAGUUCAAUUAAUGCCCCUCUAAAACUUGCCUCACCAUACAACAAACCGAUACGCUAAUAUAUCCCAUUGUGAUUGAUAAAGUCUGGUAUAAAAACCAUUGGCUCCUGGUGCUUUCCACGGGGCAAUUGUAAAAAUUGCUUUGUGAAUUUUCUCAUUACCAAUUCCUACUAAUAGACU